CCCCUAGAUGUUCUGGGCCGCACGCGCGCUACACUGAACAGUUCAACAAGUCUUAACCUUGGCCGAUAGGUCUGGGUAAUCUUUGAACGCUGUUCGUGAUUGGGAUAGACCUUUGCAAUUAUGGGUCUUCAACGAGGAAUUCCUAGUAAACGCAAGUCAUCAGCUUGCAUUGAUUACGUCCCUGCCCUUUGUACACACCGCCCGUCGCACCUACCGAUUGAAUGGUCCGGUGAAAUCUCGGUACGGCGGCUUGGUCGCUUGCGUCCGACUGCUGAAACUUGAUUAAACCAUAUCAUUUAGAGGAAGGUGAAGUCGUAACA
RNAcentral lists this ribosomal RNA (320 nucleotides) under uncultured eukaryote. RNAcentral describes it as "partial 18S ribosomal RNA". It matches the Rfam family "Eukaryotic small subunit ribosomal RNA", at positions 1470 to 1796 of the family's 1831-position model. The record is from RNAcentral.